UAAAUCCAUUUAUACACCCUUGUGAACUGUGCGCUGAAGUUGCUACGCUCGUCGUGCAACUUUCUUUGCAAAAACUACUUAAUUUAAAAAAGCUGAAGCAAUUAUAUUAAAUAAAA
RNAcentral lists this unclassified non-coding RNA (116 nucleotides) under uncultured Glomus. RNAcentral's name for it is "sequence contains ITS1". Lineage: Eukaryota; Fungi; Glomeromycota; Glomeromycetes; Glomerales; Glomeraceae. The record is from RNAcentral.